Molecule: long non-coding RNA, 1058 nt
Organism: Acinonyx jubatus (cheetah)
Lineage: Eukaryota; Metazoa; Chordata; Mammalia; Carnivora; Felidae
Exons: 4
Source: RefSeq, a predicted model, not a curated record
CCCCGCACAGCGUCGACGCGGACGGCGCGUUCUUUCCUCGUUCCUCGGGGACGGGCUGCCUUGUCUGGCAGGCCUCUGCCGUUAGGAUGAGCCGCUGCAGAGCCGAAGGAAGACCUGAGGGAAGGCCGGAGACAGGUGUCCUCCCAGAAGAUAACCAGGCCGUCGGGACACCUGGCGUCCAGCCCCCACUGCGUGGGCCCUAGGCUGGACAAACGGGCAGUGAACAGCAGCAGCCGGCCGAAUACUGCGCUUCCGUGACGGUGUUCCCAGGGUCACGCCAUCCUCGCCUUCCCCUCCGGAGCUCCGUUCUUCCAUCUGGGUCCUUUGGCCUCCAGCCUUCCCUCUGUCCUCACAGUCCCAGGGCCUCCAGAGCCUCUGCAGAGUGAGGCUGCACAGAUGGACCUGAGCCGUGGUCUCUCCUCCCCAGUCUGCCAUCGCCCCAGGGUGGGGUUAAAGCUGCCCGGCUAACCCACAUCAAAGGCCAUACCCAUCUUGUCCCCAUCCAGCCCCCCUCCGGCAUCCCCGCCUCUCCACUCCCCGCCCUGGCCUCCUCGUGCUUGUUCUGCCCAUGGAAUGUUCUUCAGCGGCUUCUCCAUGGAACAGACUCAUCUUCCAAGACCCAAAUGAAUCCCCGUCUCCUCUGAGAAGAUCUCCUAAGUCUCUGAGCACCCUGUGUCCCGCAGCCUAGCACCCUGUCCUUGGAGCCCGCUCCCCUCCCUCAGUCCGCGUUGCGGCACUGUUCGUGUUCACCCUGCUCACUCCCUUGAUCGCAGCCCCUGGCAGAAAGACGUGGCUGAGCCCCACUCUGUGCCUCAAAAACAUACACAGCAGUCCUUUUAAAUUUUUUUUUUAACGUUUAUUUAUUUUUGAGACAGAGAGAGACAGAGCAUGAAGGGGGGAGGGGCAGAGAGAGAAGGAGACACAGAAUCGGAAGCAGGCUCCAGGCUCUGAGCCAUCAGCCCAGAGCCUGACGCGGGGCUCGAACUCACGGACCGCGAGAUCGUGACCUGAGCUGAAGUCGGACACUUAACCGACUGCGCCACCCAGGCGCCCCAACA